UCACGAUUUUCAGAAACACAGAAGCGUAACAAAGUCUGAAACCAUUUAACGAUUUUCUAGACAGCAGAACUCGAUGUUAACACAAACACAUUUUACUGACUUUAACAUUAGAGCUUUUAAAUUAAAGGACUAUGGAAAUCAUUGCGAGACAUUACGAAACAUCACGAGCGUCUUACGAUGGUUCACGAAGUUUACGAAGAGGUACGAAGGUAUACG
Molecule: non-coding RNA, 216 nt
Organism: Paramuricea clavata
Lineage: Eukaryota; Metazoa; Cnidaria; Anthozoa; Malacalcyonacea; Plexauridae
Source: the annotation of a GenBank genome assembly